Oncorhynchus tshawytscha (Chinook salmon) is the source of this 1586-nucleotide long non-coding RNA. The record is from Ensembl. Lineage: Eukaryota; Metazoa; Chordata; Actinopteri; Salmoniformes; Salmonidae.
CUGCAUUAAGUUCUGCAGUGCAUCUCCUUCUCAUGGACAGCGGCCCUAGCCCUCACCCUCCGAUCCAACAGGUCCCAGACAUGCUCAAUGGAAUUGAGAUCUGGGCUCUUCGCUGGCCAUGGCAGAACACUGACAUUCCUGUCUUGCAGGAAAUCACGCACAGAACGAGCAGUAUGGCUGGUGGUAUUGUCAUGCUGGAGGGUCAUGUCAGGAUGAGCAUGCAGGAAGGGUACCACAUGAGGGAGGAGGAUGUCUUCCCUGUAACGCACACGUUGAGAUUGCCUGCUAUGACAACAAGCUCAGUCCGAAGAUGCUGUGACACACCGCCCCAGACCAUGACAGACCCUCCACCUCCAAAUCGAUCCCGCUCCAGAGUACAGGCCUCGGUGUAAUGCUAAUUUCUUCGACAAUAAACGCGAAUCCGACCAUCACCCCUGGCGACGUCGUUGCUGGUGAUGUCUGGUGAGGACCUGCCUUACAACAGGCCUACAAGCACUCAGUCCAUCCUCUCUCAGCCUAUUGCGGACAGUCUGAGCACUGAUGGAGAGAUUGUGCGUUCCUGGUGUAACUCGGGCAGUUGUUGUUGCCAUCCUGUACCUGUCCCGCAGAUGUGAUGUUCGGAUGUACCGAUCCUGUUGUUACAUGUGGUCUGCCACUGCGAGGACGAUCAGCUGUCCAUCCUGUCUCCCUGUAGUGCUCUCUGAGGCGUCUCAUAGUACGGACAUUGCAAUUUAUUGCCCUGACCACAUCUGCAGUCCUCAUGCCUCCUUGCAGCAUGCCUAAGGCACGUUCACGCAGAUGAGCAGGGACCCUGGCCAUCUUUCUUUUGCUGUUUUUAAGUCAAUAGAAAGGCCUCUAGUGUGCUACGUUUUCAUAACUGUGACCUUAAUUGCCUACCGUCUGUAAGCUGUUACUGUCUUAAUGUCCGUUCCACAGGUUAAUUGUUUAUGGUUCAUUGAACAAGCAUGGGAAACAGUGUUUAAACCCUUUACAAUGAAGAUCUGUGAAGUUAUUUGGAUUUUUACAAAUUAUCUUUGAAAGACAGGGUCCUGAAAAAGUUUACAUAUUUGCAUAGAGCUUUCUAUUGGUUAAUUUUGAUACUUUCCAAGUGGGAAACUAUCUUUCUACAACAAAUGUUCAAGUCAGAGUUUCUGAGUUACGAGUUGUCUUGAAAGCAGCAAUAGGCCAGGGCUUAUAGUGCAAAUAUUUCCCAAGGUCAAAUGGGAUUGAUUAAACUUGAUUUAGAAACCAAACAAUUCUAAAUAAUUCGGCAGAUGAUGGACAAAUCUAUUAACACAUUCUACCUUCAUCUGCCAAAUGUCAGCAUCUGUGUAGAUUCUAAUUUUGCAUGUUCAAUGUAAAAAAGAAACCACAGUAAUGAAGUUCAAAGCAAAUAAUACACUUGCUAUUGCGCCGACACCCCUAGAGGGCGUAGUUCUUCCUGACAUCAUGUCUUACCUCUAUGUGUCAAAGUGAUCCCCUCAGCCGGAAUACACUUGUGUCCCCAUGCGACUAGUUCAUACAUAAUACAUCCUCCUAUCAGGCUGCACAGGUGUCUGUUUUCUCUUUAACUCAAUUUAAUGUGG